UCGCUGCUAGGCGAAAGAUUGUUGUUAGCCUGUUAGCCGCGCUGAAGUUAGUUUGUCGGUAGUUGUUGUUUUAACUCGGUACCUUUAGUCGUUUUUGAACGAAACGUUUUCAUAUCGCCUUGCUUUGAGCGCAAACCUGAAUGUUGUCAAAAAUAUGAGGAAAAGCUGAACAUAGCGCAGGUAGCAGUACAGAUUAGCCUGGUACAUCGGACACACAGACUGUUACUCCAGGGCCUGAUGGAGAAUCAACCCUUCGAGUCACUAUUUUGUGAAUGGACGUUACGUGUGAGGGAAUGUUGCCACCAGCACUGUAACGUCAACCGAAGCGUCACAGAAACACCACGUGUUCAUCCUGUGCUGCUCUACCAAGCUCCCUCUGGAUGUUUGUCAAAUCAGGAUUGACACAAACACUCCUAUGGCACUGGGCGGCUGAUUGUCUCAGGGAUCUUGCAUUGGCAUGCAAACAUCAUCUUGUUUCCAUGUUAUGGACUUUCACUCACACACACAUACUGGUUCUGGCAACCCGUGGAUGAUGGCAUUAGCCUUCCUCUUCUCAAUUUCAUCUUGCUCACAUACAUAUAUAUUCCUUCACAGUAGACUGGACCAUCAGUCUUUUCAAGUCUACCACUUGAGUUCUGCUUCUGUCACACAUUUAACAGAACCAUUUCAUUACUUUGUCUUCUAACACAGUGUACAUAUCCGUGUCAAUGUUGCAGCAUGGCUUCAGGUGAAACCACAUGAAACAGGACUCACUCGGCAUCUCCUCAUGUAUUCAACACACUAAGCAGGAUCCUUGCUAGCCGCUGGUUGAUGUCUUCGCUGUGAGGGGUUAGCCGCACUUUGCAGACCUGUCUCAGCUUUCACCUGUCCUUUUGCGUCAUUUUGUACGCCACCGUCACGGCUUGUCCUCGCCAGGAUCUGACGUUGGCUGGCUUUGCACCCAUAUUGUUAACAAUAGAGACCUUUGACACAAAACUAAAAUCCUCAUCUCUACAAAGCCAUUAUCCUGCCAACCCUAGUGUACAGAUCUGAGAGCUGGACAACCGACAAGACCACCACCUGAAGACCUUCAAGCGAUUCCACCAAUGCUGCCUGAGGAGUAUCCUCUGCAUCCGGUGGGAAGACUACUGUACCAACAUCAGCAUCCCGGCUGAAGCCAAGCUCCAGACCAUCAAGUGUGCCAUCAUCAAGAACCAGCUUCGGUGGGUGGGUCACAUUGUUAGGAUGGAUUUCAACUGACUUCCCAAGCAGAUCUUCUACUCCCAGUAGAGUGACAGAAAACAGUCCAGAGGAGGGCAAAAGAAACACAACCAAAACAAAAACAAGAAGAGUAUAUACUGUAACAUGUCUUCUAUUUGUAAGAGUUUUAUUUUUUAACUGUUAGGAGUACUAAGUCUACCAGAGACUUUUUGAAUGUUUAUGCUAAAAUAAAAGAAUUUAUUUAUUUGUGAGUAAAACAACCUGAAAAUCAUUUAAUAAUGUAGAGUGUGCAUGCCUUCAUGUGGUGCUGCUUUUUUUAUUACAUCCACCAAGG
This is a long non-coding RNA of Thalassophryne amazonica, 1534 nucleotides long. RefSeq lists it as uncharacterized. The transcript is spliced from 3 exons. Lineage: Eukaryota; Metazoa; Chordata; Actinopteri; Batrachoidiformes; Batrachoididae. The record is from RefSeq and is a predicted model, not a curated record.